RNAcentral lists this ribosomal RNA (496 nucleotides) under uncultured archaeon. Its description in RNAcentral is "bacterial SSU rRNA". It matches the Rfam family "Archaeal small subunit ribosomal RNA", at positions 4 to 491 of the family's 1478-position model. The record is from RNAcentral.
CCGGUUGAUCCCGCCGGACCUGACUGCUAUCGGAUUGAUACUAAGCCAUGCGAGUCAUUGUAGUAAUACAAGGCAGACGGCUCAGUAACGCGUAGUCAACCUACCCUAUGGACGGGAAUAACCUCGGGAAACUGAGAAUAAUGCCCGAUAGAACAUUAUGCCUGGAAUGGUUUAUGUUCCAAAUGAUUUAUCGCACGUAGGAUGGGACUGCGGCCUAUCAGUUUGUUGGUGAGGUAAUGGCCCACCAAUGACUAUUACAGGUACGGCGCUCUGAGAGGAGUAGCCCGGAGAUGGGUACUGAGACACGGACCCAGGCCCUAUGGGGCGCAGCAGGCGAGAAAACUUUGCACAUGUGCGAAAGCACGACAAGGUUAAUUCACGAGUGGUCUUCUGCUAAAGGAACCUUAUAAGUCCGUCCUAAAAACACCGAUGAAUAACGGGUGGGCAAGUUACUGGUGAUCAGACCGCCCAAGGUAAAACAGACACCUCAAGAUUG